GGGAAAGGGUGUGUGUGUGUGUGUGUGUGUGUGUGUGUGUGUGUGUGUGCGCGCGCGCACGCGCGCAUGC
RNAcentral lists this microRNA precursor (70 nucleotides) under Loxodonta africana (African savanna elephant). Its description in RNAcentral is "miRNA (ENSLAFG00000029568.1)". Lineage: Eukaryota; Metazoa; Chordata; Mammalia; Proboscidea; Elephantidae. The record is from RNAcentral.